UACGGGGGGGGUAAGCGUUGUUCGGAAUUACUGGGCGUAAAGGGCCAGUAGGCGGCCAACUAAGUCACACGUGAAAUCCCCAGGCUUAACCUGGGAACUGCGUGUGAUACUGGAUGGCUUGAAUUCGGGAGAGGGAUGCAGAAUUCCAGGUGUAGCGGUGAAAUGCGUAGAUAUCUGGAGGAAUACCGGUGGCGAAGGCGGCAUCCUGGACCGACAUUGACGCUGAACGGCGAAAGCUAGGGGAGCAAACGGG
RNAcentral lists this ribosomal RNA (253 nucleotides) under uncultured bacterium. RNAcentral describes it as "partial 16S ribosomal RNA". It matches the Rfam family "Bacterial small subunit ribosomal RNA", at positions 524 to 776 of the family's 1533-position model. The record is from RNAcentral.